RNAcentral lists this ribosomal RNA (253 nucleotides) under uncultured bacterium. RNAcentral describes it as "partial 16S ribosomal RNA". It matches the Rfam family "Bacterial small subunit ribosomal RNA", at positions 524 to 776 of the family's 1533-position model. The record is from RNAcentral.
UACGUAGGUGGCAAGCGUUGUCCGGAUUUACUGGGCGUAAAGGGCGUGCAGGCGGUUUGUUAAGUGCAGGGUGAAAGCUCCCGGCUCAACUGGGAGAGGUCCUUGCAUACUGGCAAACUCGAGGGAGGCAGAGGAAAGUGGAAUUCCCGGUGUAGUGGUGGUAUGCGUAGAGAUCCGGAGGAACACCAGCGGCGAAGGCGGCAUCCUGGACUGGUCCUGACACUCAGGAGCGAAAGCCAGGGGAGCAAACGGG